CCUACGGGAGGCAGCAGUGAGGAAUAUUGGUCAAUGGGCGGAAGCCUGAACCAGCCAAGUAGCGUGCGGGAUGACGGCCCUACGGGUCGUAAACCGCUUUUGCACGGGGAUAACACCCUCCACUUGUGGAGGUCUGCAAGUACCGUGCGAAUAAGGGCCGGCUAAUUCCGUGCCAGCAGCCGCGGUAAUACGGAAGGCCCGAGCGUUAUCCGGAUUCAUUGGGUUUAAGGGGGGCGUAGGCGGGCGUUCAAGUCAGCUGUAAAAUCGCGGGGCUCAACCGCGCACCGCAGUUGAAACUGGACGGCUUGAGUUCACAACAGGCAGGCGGAAUGCGUGGUGUAGCGGUGAAAUGCAUAGAGAUCACGAGGAACCCCGAUUGCGAAGGCAGCCUGCCGGGGUGCGACUGACGCUGAGGCUCGAAGGUGCGGGUAUCAAACAGGAUUAGAUACCCCAGUAGUC
This 459-nucleotide ribosomal RNA is filed under the name uncultured bacterium. RNAcentral describes it as "partial 16S ribosomal RNA". It matches the Rfam family "Bacterial small subunit ribosomal RNA", at positions 338 to 795 of the family's 1533-position model. The record is from RNAcentral.